GAAAUAAUAUAUUUAAGCUUCUAACUUAAUAAAAAGCGAAAUUCGUUUAUAUUUCU
Molecule: transfer RNA, 56 nt
Filed under: Tenebrionoidea sp. 8 KM-2017
Lineage: Eukaryota; Metazoa; Arthropoda; Insecta; Coleoptera
Description: tRNA-Ser
Source: RNAcentral